This 733-nucleotide ribosomal RNA is filed under the name uncultured bacterium. RNAcentral describes it as "bacterial SSU rRNA". It matches the Rfam family "Bacterial small subunit ribosomal RNA", at positions 798 to 1529 of the family's 1533-position model. The record is from RNAcentral.
UGCCGUAAACGAUGAGUGCUAAGUGUUGGGAGGUUUCCGCCUCUCAGUGCUGCAGCUAACGCAUUAAGCACUCCGCCUGGGGAGUACGACCGCAAGGUUGAAACUCAAAGGAAUUGACGGGGGCCCGCACAAGCGGUGGAGCAUGUGGUUUAAUUCGAAGCAACGCGAAGAACCUUACCAGGUCUUGACAUCCAGUGCAAACCUAAGAGAUUAGGUGUCCCCUUCGGGGACGCUGAGACAGGUGGUGCAUGGCUGUCGUCAGCUCGUGUCGUGAGAUGUUGGGUUAAGUCCCGCAACGAGCGCAACCCUUGUCAUUAGUUGCCAUUAUUAAGUUGGGCACUCUAAUGAGACUGCCGGUGACAAACCGGAGGAAGGUGGGGAUGACGUCAAGUCAUCAUGCCCCUUAUGACCUGGGCUACACACGUGCUACAAUGGACGGUACAACGAGAAGCGAACCUGCGAAGGCAAGCGGAUCUCUUAAAGCCGUUCUCAGUUCGGACUGUAGGCUGCAACUCGCCUACACGAAGCUGGAAUCGCUAGUAAUCGCGGAUCAGCACGCCGCGGUGAAUACGUUCCCGGGCCUUGUACACACCGCCCGUCACACCAUGAGAGUCUGUAACACCCAAAGCCGGUGGGAUAACCUUUAUAGGAGUCAGCCGUCUAAGGUAGGACAGAUGAUUAGGGUGAAGUCGUAACAAGGUAGCCGUAGGAGAACCUGCGGUUGGAUCACCUC